Molecule: long non-coding RNA, 209 nt
Organism: Juglans regia (Persian walnut)
Lineage: Eukaryota; Viridiplantae; Streptophyta; Magnoliopsida; Fagales; Juglandaceae
Exons: 2
Source: RefSeq, a predicted model, not a curated record
GUGGUUUGAUAGCGCCAUUAAAGAUCUCCCACACCCACAAAAAUCCUGGAAGGAAAUUUUAUGCUUGUCCGACUUAUGGAACGGGAGAAACAAGAUGUCAAUUCUUCAUUUGGGCAGAUAUACUUCAAUCAGUAUUAUCUGAGAAAAACCUGACAAGAGAGAAUGAAAUUCGGAAGAGGGAGGAUGCUUUGUUGUUGCGUGAGUAUGAA